This 467-nucleotide long non-coding RNA is filed under the name Homo sapiens (human). Its description in RNAcentral is "HSALNT0036588". The record is from RNAcentral. Lineage: Eukaryota; Metazoa; Chordata; Mammalia; Primates; Hominidae.
UUUUAGUGUUUGAUUAAAAACCCUCAAAGGAAAAGAGAAAUUUUGAUCUUUGAGAAGAGCUGUUUCAUCACAGGGUGAAGUUGUUUCCUGAGCCCUUUGAUCUGAAAUGACCUUGCGACCUGGAACCAGCAGACAGCCUGAGGGAGGCAGUGCAUGUUCUGAGCCAGGGCCUCAGGAGGCCUGCAGCUGCCAUUCUGCUUCUGUUGGAACAUGACCUCCUUGAGAACACUCCCAGGCCUGACUGCAGGGUGGGGAGACCACACAGAGCAGAGCCGAGCCACCGGGAUGAGGCCCCUAGAUCACCCAGCUCCCAGCUGACCACAGAUCAUGAGUGAUCCCGUUUCUCCCUAGGUCAAGGGUGAUGUUUUGCUCAGAGAAAACUGAAGUUUGGAUUGUUCCAGUCCUGCAUCACAUCCUGUUUCAGGCUGCCCUAAAACAAAACCAGAAACAACCAUCACCACAAAACA